CAAUAGCGUAUAUUUAAGUUGCUGCAGUUAAAAAGCUCGUAGUUGGAUUUCGGGUGGGAAUGGCCGGUCCGCCGUUUCGGUGUGCACUUGCUACGCCCACCUUGCUGCCGGGGACGUGCUCUUGAGUUCACGCUCGGGACACGGAGUCGGCGAGGUUACUUUGAGUAAAUUAGAGUGUUCAAAGCAGGCCUACGCUCUGAAUACAUUAGCAUGGAAUAACACGAUAGGACUCUGGCCUAUCUUGUUGGUCUGUAGGACCGGAGUAAUGAUUAAGAGGGACAGUCGGGGGCAUUCGUAUUUCAUUGUCAGAGGUGAAAUUCUUGGAUUUAUGAAAGACGAACUACUGCGAAAACAUUUGCCAAGGAUGUUUUCAUUAA
This 377-nucleotide ribosomal RNA is filed under the name uncultured eukaryote. RNAcentral's name for it is "partial 18S ribosomal RNA". It matches the Rfam family "Eukaryotic small subunit ribosomal RNA", at positions 592 to 976 of the family's 1831-position model. The record is from RNAcentral.